UACAUGGGGUGCAAACGUUGCUCGGAAUUAUUGGGCGGAAAGCGCGCGUAGGCGGUUACUCAAGUCGGAUGUGAAAGCCCUCGGCUUAACUGAGGAAGUGCACCCGAAACUGAGUAGCUAGAGUACUAAAGAGGGUCGCGGAAUUCCCGGUGUAGAGGUGAAAUUCGUAGAUAUCGGGAGGAACACCGGUGGCGAAGGCGGCGACCUGGGUAGAUACUGACGCUGAGGCGCGAAAGCGUGGGGAGCAAACAGG
This 253-nucleotide ribosomal RNA is filed under the name uncultured bacterium. RNAcentral describes it as "partial 16S ribosomal RNA". It matches the Rfam family "Bacterial small subunit ribosomal RNA", at positions 524 to 776 of the family's 1533-position model. The record is from RNAcentral.